Equus asinus (donkey) is the source of this 13800-nucleotide long non-coding RNA. Lineage: Eukaryota; Metazoa; Chordata; Mammalia; Perissodactyla; Equidae. The record is from Ensembl.
GUGAAAGUCCUUCCUGGGACCGUUGCAACGGGCCAGCAGCUAACAGAGGGGGUCUGGUCCAAGCUUUGCUGGCAGACUGAACCCUCCCUGGUGCCCCACUGCACACACACAGUCUGCGAUGACUGGCUCUGGGGGCGAGUAGCAAACUGUUUCUCCUUUCGCUUCGCCUGGGGCUCGGAACAAGUGACCGGGAAAGCGGGAAGUUGGUGACAGUCAGAGUCAUGAACACCCGUCAGACUCCCUCCCCACAAUACCACACCGCUCCCACUCCCCAAAGGGCCCAAGCCUCCAGAGGGAGGACAUCCGAGACCCGACCCCCACCAGGAAGCUUCUCUUCGCUUGCCCCACCUGCUCAGGAGCAACGUGGCCCUGGCAGGAGGAAGCUUCUGAAAGAUUUUCUUAGUGGAGCACAUGGGGUGGCCCAACCGGGGAGACGGGGCACAGAAAGCAUGCGGGGAGGGGGGUGGGGGGGUUAAGAGAAGAGGCUGUAAAGCCCGGGAGGGAGACUUGGCUUGUCCCUCUCCCACCGCACUCCUCCAAGACCCAGAGGCCUGAGCUUUUCAUUCAUCCUUUAAGGAAGGCGCAAAGAUGGAGGGGGGUCCUACCGAGGGAGGGGCCAGAGGCCACCACGACGGAUGAGGACCAGGCUGGCCCAGCCCCUUCAUCUUACGGUGGGGGGCGGUGAGGAGGAAGCGGAGGAGGGGAAGGUUGGCGGAGCGGGGAGGUGGGGAGCAAGGACUUGGCAGAAGCGCGCUCGACCGGAGGAAAGUCCCGAAAGCGGGAGAGCUCUGGGCUCCCAGGCCAGGGGGAGGGUGGAGGGGCCUGGGAGGGUCGCGGGCUGCCUCGGCCGCUUACCUGUCGCGCCAAGGCAGAGCCGCAGCCGCGCCGCCGACCGGCUCGCCGGCUUCCCGACGGGACGUCCUGGAGGGCGGGGCCGGGGCGGGCCCUGCAAGGCUGCUGGGGCGCGCCCUCCCCGCCCCUCCCCUGCCCGGCCAGGUGCAGGCGGUCACCCGCCGCGUCCCCGAGCGCUGCAGCCGGCAGCGGAACGCCCUCUGCUCCUAGGGCCGCCUGGAGGCUGGCGGCCGGGUCGGGGGCGUCCCCCGCCCCGUGCGCCCCACCUGCCGGCCGCUGCUAGGAGCCCAGCUUCUCCAGAUCGCAGCCCACCCCGGGAUGCAGCCUCCGCGGCCAGGCUCUCAGCGCCGAAAAAGAUCGGAGGGUCCUAGCCCCCUCCAGGACGACAGGCAUUAGCCGAGCCGCCGGUGGCGCGGAGCUGCGUGUGCAUGGAACCGCAGCGUGCGCCGCGCGGGCUCGGCGGCGGCGCGGCCGGAGCGCUCAGAGCCCGGAGGCAGCGGCGCCGGAGGGGAAAAACGCGGCCGGGCAGCGAGGAGCCCCGGGGCUCCGUCCCAGGACUGAGCUAUUGAGGAGGCCAGAGGUUUAGCAGCGAUGGAGUCUGGAGAGAGGAGCCCAGGGGAGCAUGGAGAAGACCUUACCCAGCUACACUAGAUCAGGAGGAUGGACAUUCCCGACGGAGUAGAAAAGGGAGGCGUCCACUCACUCUAGACACGGUCACCCGUCUCCCCUAACUCCUAAUAGCUGAGUGAUUCCCCCACCCCCACCUCCCUUUCUUUCACACUAGAGACUCUUUGGGGCUCAAGUUCCUAAAGGGAGACUUUCUACAGAGGUUACCUUGAUCAUACGUUUUAGCCCCUUUACAGACCCUCAGGGCUCAUUCUAACUCACACUGCUCCAGCUGCCACCAUUCUUGUCACUUGUCUUGUUCGAUAGCUAUCUUUCUCAGGAUAAGGGCAUUUCCUAUUGAAGACUGGGGGAUGCUCCCCCUCAUUUCUCUCUUUCUGGGGGCUAGACACUCCUAUAUGAGUCUGACCCUAAGGUCUUUGCCCCACCCUUCCUCUAACUUUGCUCUGUGACCCUCAGGGAUUGUGUGAUCUUGACCUGGCCCUUGGAACUUAGUCAGGACCCAACAUGAUUUGAGGAUGAUGGGCUAGCCUGGACUCACAGCCUCCGUUCUUCCCCAGGACAGAGUCAUGUCCACUAACCCCAUCCUGGAGUUCCUGAGAAGGUGGUGCCCAGCUUCCCAAGGAAGCAGCAUCGUCUGUGUUGUGUGCUCCACGUUCUGGAAGCAAAUUACUCAUCCUAUUUUACUUGGGCUGAUUCUGGUUUUAAACAUGACUUUGAGUCCGCAGAAUAAUCAGCUGCCUAAUUUGGAGGCACAUGUAGUCCGCAGGAUGUGUGACCCACCCACCAUGUGUCAUGCACUGAGCUGUUCCCUUCUGGCGGGAAGGACAGGCUCCCUGCCUUCCGCUCCAGGAAGGCCUGGAGAUGAACCACUGCAAAAUGGUGACUCUGACCUCAGCCUGCCUCUGGUGGCAGGCCACUUAAAAAAAUAGUUUUCUUUAAUUGAAAAAGUUAUAUAGGCACAUGGUUAAAAUUCAAACGCUAUAAAAAGAUAUACGAUGAAAGAUACAUUUCCCCCCUCCCUGGACCUUGGUCCUUCUCUCCAGAAAUCUUCUCUGCAUAUUCAUGACCAAGGCUCUUGCCAUCAUUCAGCUCCUCUGCAGGACUUGCCUGAAUUCCCUGCUCUUCAGGAAGUCCUGUGAAUUUCAUUUUUUUUCUCACAGUCUUAUUUUUAUUUCUUGGCCGUUUUGGAUUCUGUUUUUGGGUGUUCUGAGUUUCGCUUUUCACAUCAAUAUGCUUCCGGGGGUUCCCCCUUUAAGGCAGGAAGUGUGGUGGGGAGCAGAUCAGUUGAAGCAAACUGAGACAAGGACAGCUCUGUGAGGCUGUUGACGUCAGCUUCAGUCCUUAUCAAGUCUCUUCCUUCCACACGCAGUCCCUGGUGAGGGGACCUCUGGGUGGAGCGGAAUGAGGGAGACUUGCCCAUCUGGAGGGGGUGCUGGCACCACUUAGCAGGGAAAGUUUGCAGAAGAAGUACUCAAGAUGCCCAGGAUCUGGGGGCACCUUUUGCAAAAGGGAAGUUUAACCAUUGCGAAGAAUAAAACCUCUAAAUGCUUACAAGGUUUGCUGUGAGAACUCUUUCUGCCCCAAAUUACGAUAUCUUAUUGUUUAAUAGCUCUCUUAAAAGAAAGAAAGAGAUAUGCACAGUGAGCCUUCUGAAACGUAAUUGGAUCUCAACCUGAUAGUUAUGUUGUCCAAAGGGAAGUAAUAAAAGGGGUAAUAAAUGAUCCCCCAGAGCAAACUAUCCCCAGCUUACAGCAAAACCUCUGUUAUCUGUCCCUAAAAAGUGGGAGAGGAGGUUCCUGUCUUCUUAGACUUUGAAAAAACAGUGAAUUUCAUUAGGGUGAAAUCUAUCAGAUAGCAUCUGAAUGUUGUUUAAUAUUACUUUGGAGUGAAAGUAAAAGAGAGGCGGUGGAAUAACUCAAGGGCAGUUCUCAUGUCCUGAUGUCUGAUGUCCUCUGAAUGUCCUGAAAUUUUUGCCUCAUUGCUUAUUAGUUCCCAUGGAAUCUUAUUUAUUUUCAACAGGUAAAAUGUACAUAUGGUACUACAAUCAAAAUUCCAAAAGUAUAGUGAAGUGACCUUAGAGGAGCAUGAAUGAACUCCUUCAUGUUUUCUACUGUCAGGAGAAGACAGACCUGAAGUGGUGCCUUGAUAUACGCACAUUCUGCCAGACUACAGUAAGAUGUGACAGGCAUAUAUUGUCAGAACAAGGGCUGCACUCAAACUUUGAAAAGAUAUUGGCUCCACUUAUUAAUGAUCAAGACUUAAAAUAUCCUGGAGUUUGGCUGUUGUAAGAGGUUUAUGGGAAACUAUUCUAGGCUUGCCAAACCACCAAGUGACUUCACAGGUACAAAACAUGGAUGCCCCAAGAACAGGAGAAGAACCCCCACUAGGGGGAGCUGGAGAUGGACUUUUAGGACCUUGGUGGUCUCUGUGAUGUGUUAUCCUGUCCUGGCAUUCAAUACCCUGGUGAACCCACAAGUGCUAAAUUUGAAGGCUAUGGGGGUCAGGAUAGCUGACCCCUCAGCUUUUGUUGGUCCCUGGGCUGUUAGUUUCAGCUCAACAUGGUGAUCCAUUCUUCUUGCCCGAUGGCCAAAGAAGGGUGUCUCCUGGGAGCCUCUGGGAAAGCUUUCAUUCCUUUGAACAAAACGGAUACAAGAAGAAGACAGCCCCUCGGAAGCCUAGCUGAGGACAGAGCCCACCCAGUGACAGGGUGGAGCAGAGAGGCCACAGAACCCGGACCACUGCUGACGCUGUUGAUCUGGAGCUUGUAUUGCUCAUGGAGUCCACCCCACCAUGGCAUCUGUUAUGUGAGAUAACUCUGUGGGCUGUUCUGGAGCCAAGGGAGGGACCAAAGGGGAAAAUAGGGGGCACCAGCCCAAAGGGACCCAGACCUUCUCCAAGGACAUUCAGAUUUUGCUUUGAGUCUACAAAAACUAGAACUUUCUACAGAACCUGGAAUGCCACAGAGGAAACAAUCCCACCCGGGGAGUCAGAGAACCUUAGAGCCAAUAUGGCCCUAAGGUUAAUUCCAGUGGCGGAGGAAGCCAUGUCUGAAUGGGAGCCUCAGCUGGCCGCCCGUGUAAGCAGCUUCUCUGAGACCUUGCAGAGGAGUGAAGACCUGGAGGGGGUGCUCAUGCACUCCUUGCUUUUGGAACCAGAGAAUUGGAGCCCAGGGAACAUUCUGGAGGUGCCAGGUCACACCACCCAUUCUUCACAGGGUUCUCCCACAGCCAGAUGCUAUGGGAGAGGCCCAUCUCAGUAUGUGGGUGCUGGGAGGCCGAGAUAGAACUCCCCCGACCAAAGGAGAGACUCAGACUGACUGCACGGUACCCCUCAGCUGGCAGUUCUGUAAUGGUGCGCAAGUUGUUUACUCUCAGUUUUCUCUUUUUAAAAAAAGGAUAUUAAUGUGGAUCUGUUGUAAAAUUUAGAUGAGAUAAUGUAUGUAAAUCACUCGUAAUGUGCUCAGAACAUAGUAAACGCUCCAUUUUCAACGACAACAGUGACAACAACACAGGCACCCAGGGCCACUCCUCGGCUGCCAAGGAGAGCCACUGAGCUCUCCUAACCGUGCAGGGGCCCCUCAAGCCUGAAUGGACGGAUCCGUGAAGCCAACACAUGGCUGUCUUGGUAUGCGCCUGUAACUCCACCCAAAAGCUCUUUUUUGGAGUUUGGGAUGGAGCCUCAUAGCUCGUUGAUGAGCUUAGCUGACCUGUGAGGUUUCGUCUGGGUUUGAGGGUGGCCAAGAAUGACCACUUAGGUCCUACUCCAAGUUCUUUCAUUUGGGUCUACUCCCAAAGCAGCUGGAAGCGGUGCAAAGGAUGGAAAUGAGACAACGGUACAUCCACUGGGUGGCUGCUGCUCCCUGUGGCCUCUUCUGUCAAUUCACGGAGAAGCACUCCCCAGAGUCUGGUGACGUUGGCAGCCAGUGAGGAGCAAGAUGUCUGCCUGACCGGAGGAGCACUGAGCUGCAGGUUCGCUGCCUCUCUACCUCGGCCACAUCACACCCAGGUCUAAAGGCCAAGCCUUGAAAUUCUUCCUGUGUCAGCCUUGGAGCCGUCAGCCCUUGUCUGUACCUGUGCUGCACGCAGGAGGUUGUUAGUCCAUCAGGAGCCUUAUGAAUUGUUAGAAGAUCCCCCUUCCUCUGGGCAGAUGCAGACCUGGGUCAGGGCACAGCGCGCCACGCUAAGCCUGUGCAGGGCUGAAGCUGCACGACCACCUGUGCAGCCGUGGCUGCAGCCCUGGGAGUCCCCAUCUCUGUGCGGGGCCCGCUGCAGUGACCUCUGCCUUGGGGUGGGCAAAGGAAGUGGGCUUCCCUCGGUGUGAAGCCGGACAUAUGGGCACACUCUAGGGAUCUUCCUACUUAGCCACCGUUGCUGUUUGCUGUCAGAGCAGACCCAAAUCUGAUACCAGGAGCUGCAUGAAGGAGACAGAUCACUGAUCUGGAACAUGGGACUGCCUGCUGAACAUCAAAUUAGCAGACUCCUGACCAAAGGCAGGAGAGACGGGGGACGUGACUGUGUACAAGGACAGACAGAGAUCGGGAGAGGGCCAGUCAAAUGUGAAGCAUCUGCUCUCUUCUCUGUCUAGCAUCUCUUCAGGGAACUACCUUCCUUCGAUUCUCAGUCCAUGAAGUUCAGAUGAAGCCCACCUCACCCCCAGCACCAAGGGUGGAUCUGUGAUAUGUACAUCAUAUCUAUGUGCGCAUAUCCUUUGGCCACCAGCAUUGGUUUAGGGUUAGGCACAUUACCCAAGCCAGGCUACUCAGCCUUGUCUGAGAUAUUUCCUGGAACUAGCAAAAAAGAUGACCCCACCCCACAUGGCCGCUGAUGGAAUCAUUAGCUGGGAAAAUGAUGUAAGUUUAGAGCAGCCAAUGGCUAUCCUUGCUAUUACAUGAGGAAGGAGAGUCAGCCUGAGCAUGAAGUCAAUCCUGAGAAAGCAGAGAAUAAAGGUAAAGAGUAAGAGGACUCUAAUGAUAUAUUUUGGACUCCUGGAUCCUGCUGUACCUGAAGUCAUUUAUUCCUAGACUUCUCCCUUCUUUCACUUUCUUUUCUUUCCCUCUGUUUACUCUCUCUCUCCCUUUCUUCUUUUGGUUGAAAUUUGUUUGAAUGUUUUUGUUACUUGCAACUGAAAGAACCUGACCAGUAAACAAUGUAUGCACUGAACUAACUUAUUGUGAUAGGGAAGUUGGUAAAGGGCCAUCUGUGUUCACUUAAACCCAGGCCUGGCAGGGAGGAAGCAGAGAGAAACUCCCAAGAAAAACUUAGGAAAUGAAGCUUUUGACUCUCCAAGUAACAGAGAAAGAGAGUGGAGUGGAGACUCGCAGUGAGAGGUGAGGACACAUUGGAUUGGGAGGGAUGGACCACCCAUCCUUCUAGGCUUUGUCCUGUGAGAUGCCCUUGAACUAGGCCAUUUCCCAGGGAGGACUUGGAGAUACAUGGGAGACCAGGAGAACUUGGGAGAGGAGAUGACCCAAAGACUAGAGAGGCAAGAGGCUAGUCCAGCGUGGGGUCUGUCUCCAAGCCCCUCAGGGCGUGCUGCACCUCGACCCCUGUUAGUGCUGGGGGGCCGGGAGAGCCCCAUUUCUCCACUUCCUUACAACCUCAGGCUCAGGCACGUUGAUGUUCUGUGGCCCACCACAUCCCUCACGUUUGCUUUGGAGAGACUGCACCAAAUUCUCAGUGGGGUCUCCCCUGUUACAUAUAAAUAGUGCUGCUGUAAACCCUCUCUCUGCAUAUCUCUGGCCAUUUUCCUAUGGUAAACUUCUAGAAGUGGAACUUGCUAGGUCAAAGGUUAUGAACAUUAUUAAAGUUUUUGAUUCUUAUUCCAGGAGGAAAUAUUACCCAUUACUAGAAGAGACAGAAAAAGUUCCUGCCCUUGUCAACUAGGAGAGGGCUGAUGGCCCAUAACUAAUGUAAGAGGUGACCUGUUUUUCAGAAAAACAGAGCCACGUCACAAUGUCUGUAAUAAAUUAAAUUAAGACCGUAAAAUGUGGUGUGGGUGCAGCAGAUCACAUGGCAUUAAACAAAUUGGACUGCCUGGUUCCCUGGAGAUACACGGGACAGAAAGCAGCAGAGGGACGUAAUGGGGUUAGCGUGGUGCUUUCCUGGAAGUUGGAAGUGUGGCAGUCGCAGCUGCUGUGGUUGCGUUUACCGAGGGCGACUUCUGUGUAAGUGGGGUUAGGGCCAGAGGAAGGCAAAGAACUAGCAUUUCUCUCUCAGGGAGCUCUGUUCGAUGAGAGGAAUCACCAGCUACAAAUAUAAUUAUCCCAGAAGAGAGAUUUUGUCCUGGUGUAAGUAAGAACAUUCUAACAUUCUAUCAACAGUUGGAAAGGUUCAUGCAUAUGACAGCACUUGGAAGCCAUAAAGCAUUACUGGGGAGGGGUACAGUGCCAGGUACUAAGGAGUCAGAGAGGAAGACGUGGUCCCCAUCUGUAAGGAGCUCCUGGUCUAGUGAACGAUUCCUCUAGGAUGUGAUGAGAGCUGUAACAGAGGAACAUAUAUAGGAGUCCAGUGAUGGCACAAGGUGGGGAGUGAUUAACUUACUUGCUGGAUGAAGAGGUGACAUGACCUGGUUUGUGAAGAACGAGUAGAAGUUUACCAGGUGGGUAGUGAGAGAGAUGCAAGUAGAGUGAGGGGCCUACGUGUGACCUGGGUGGACCCACGAUUUGGAAUGCAAAUAACACGGCCCAGCUAGUCCCCAGAAUAUAGUGCUGCAGGCUCUAUGCAGCGAUAUCAGAUCCAGAAGUCCAGUCUGGGGCCAUCGGAGGCUCCACUCUCCCCAGGUUCCCUCGGACUACUGGUGUUGAGAACAGACCACGUUGGUCGUGGCUAGGUGGGCUCCUUGCAGCAGGGGCUGCCGUUAAUGAGGAGGAGUCAGCCCGGGCCAGAUAGUCCUCAGGGCAGAAGCUGGGCAAAUUUGGAGGCGUGUCAAAAGACGAGGGGACUGGAGCCAAGUCUUGCCCUGAGAGUGUGUCUGAAGCACGGGAUCCCUGUGCUACUAGCUAGACUGGUCAGAAUUCCCUGUUUAAAACUCUUUCGGUUUUUCCGCGCGGCGACUUCCACCGGGCGCUCGGCUGCCGGCCCUAGUGGUGCACAGUGCACGGAUGCCGCCCGUGGACGCCUGUGUUAGUUUCCUGGAGCUGCUGUGACAAAGUACCACAAACUGGGUAGCUUAAAACAGAAAUUUAUUGUCUCACGGUUGUGGAGAAAUCCGCAGGGCCAUGCUCCCUCUAGAAUCUGUAGGGGACCGCUCCUUGCCUCUUCCUAGCUUCUGGUGACUUGCCCGCAAUCUUUGUCAUUCCUUGGACUGUCAACGCAUCACUCUGACCCUCUCCCCUCACAUGGCGUUCUCCCUGUGUCUCUCUGGGCCUUCACACAGCCGUCUCUUUAUAAGGACACCAGUCAUAUUGGACUAAGGGGCGGCUCUACUCCAGGAUGACCUCCUCUUAAUUAAUUACCCCUGCAAUGACCCUAUUUCCAAAUAAGGCCACAUUCUGAGGUACUGGCGGUGAGGACUUCACCGUGUCUUUUGGGGGACACCGUUCAAACCAUAACAGCAUCUCUUAGAAAUGUGGUGGCAGAGCUUUCAGAUAGCAAGGACCUGAGCUCCCAGCGCUCUGAAGUGCCACUCAGGGGUGACAGCUAGGGGACGUGGUGUUUACAUCUUUCUGCUGGGGAGACCCAAGGCUGCCCAGGAUGGCGGCUGCAGGAAGAUGUGGGCUGCAGGGAGCCGGGCUCUGCCUCGCUGCAGCGAUGUUGCUCUAGAGGGAGCAGGUAGAGUUGCGUUCCUGUCAAGGGAGCCAUUUGGGGCCCUUUCCCAGUCGUUCUUCAAGGAGAGUGGCUCCCAGUGUAGUGCUCCCUCUGGAACAUUCUCCUUCCUGGACAGGUAAGGAGUGAGGAAGGGAAUAACUAGUUACCCAGUUUGGGGUUUUUUCCCAGAGUUUUCCUGGAUAUUUUUGCUUGCCCAUUAAAAAAAUAAACAUUUUGUGAUCUGAAAUUUAUAGAUGAGCAAAAGGAGAAUUAACAGCAUAAAUAAAAUCGAGUUUUGCCUAGCAGACACAGGGGGUGCCUUUCGAUUUACUCAAGACUUCUUUUGUGCCACUCAGUGGGAGCUGCUCUUUUCAUAUAGUUCUUGCAUGUUGCUUGUUUGCACAAUCUUCUGUCUCUUCGCUUAUUGUCCUAACAGGCAUCCUUUCUCUCAUUCUAUUAUCGAGUCAGUUGUGCUUUGAGUUAUAGGAAAGCUAUUGAUUUUUGCAUAAUAAUCUCGUGCCCAGCCACUUUUCUGAAUUGUCUUAUUGUUUGCAGUAGUUUUCAGUUGAUUCUCUUAUAGUGAUAUAAUGUAGGGACAUAAUGACUACAAUGAUAUAAUGUCUCUUCCUUUCUGAUUUACAUAUAUAUAUAUAUAUAUAUAUAUUUUGUUGUUGUUGUUGUUAUCAAGUUCUGUUGGCUAAUACCCUCUCUACCCAUUAAGUAACAGUGAUGAUUAUGGUCACCCUUAAUUUGUUUCUGACUUUACUGGGAAUACUUCUGUUGUUUUCCUGCUAAGAAUGGUGCUAGGUUCGAUUGUUCCAAUUAGAGUUGCCCGUGAAUGCAAUUGGGCUUGAAUUUAUUCAUUUUUUUAGUGGAGGGUAUUUCUUUCAAACUUUCUUGUUUCUUCUCCCCUCCUCCUUCAUUUGGAUUUUCUAUCUUUUUAACUAUCUUUUUUUUUUUUGAGGAAGAUUAGCCCCGAGCUAAAAUCUGCCACCAAUCCUCCUCUUUUUGCUGAGGAAGACUGGCCCUAAGCUAACAUCCAUGCCCAUCUUCCUCUACUUUAUAUGUGGGACGCCUACCACAGCAUGGCAUGCCAAGCGGUGCCAUGUCUGCACCCAGGCUCCAGACCAGCGAGGAACCUCCAUACUGUUUUCCACAGUAGCUGCACCAAUUUGCAUUCCUACCGCCAGCUCCUUUGUUUCACAUCCUCACCGACACUUGUUAUCCUUGUCUUUUUGAUAAAAACCAUUCGAACAGGUGUGAGGUGACAUCUCAUUGUGGAUUUGAUUUGCAUCUCCCCCGAGGAUUCGUGACAUUGAGAACUUUUUCAUGUACCUGUUGGCCAUUUGUGUGUCUUCUUUGGAAAAAUGUCCAUUCACAUCCUUUGCCCAUUUUUUAAUUGGUUAUUUGGUUGUUUUUUUUUUUUUUUUUGCUAUUGAGUUGUAUGAGUUUCUUAUACAUUUCGGAUAUUAACCCCUUACAAAUAUAUGGCUUGCAAAUAUUUUCUCCCGUUCUGUAGGUUGCCUUUCCAUUUUGUUGAUUGCUUCUUUUGCUUUGUAGAGGCUUGUUAGUUUGAUGUAGUCCCACUUGUUUAUUUUUGCUUGUGUAACUUGUGUUUUUGGUGUCACAACCAAAAAAAUCUUUGUCAAGACUGAUGUCAAGGAGCUUUUCGCCUAUGUUUUCUUCUAGGAGUUUUACUGUUUCAGGUCUUAUACUUAAGUCUUUAAUCCAUUUCAAGUUAAUUUUUGUGAGUGUUGUACCAAAGAGGUCCAAUUUCAUUCUUUUGCGUGUAACUAUCCAGUUUUUCCAGCCACAAUUAUUGAAGAGACUAUUCUUUCCCCAUUGAGUAUUUUUGGCUUUAUUGUCAAAUAUUAGUUCCAUGGCUUCAUUUCUGGGCUCUCAUUUCUGUUACAUUCGUCUAUGUGUCUGUUUUUAUGCCAGUACCAUACUAUUUUGAUUACUAUAACUUUGUAUUAUAGUUUGAAAAGUUCUUGAAUAUGUUUAUAAGUUUCAUUGUUUUUCUGUUUUCUUAUUUAAUAAUUUCUACUUCCAUCUUUAGGAAGUUUUUAGUUUUUUUGUGGUUCUUUUUCUAACUUCUUGAGUGGGAUGCUUAGUUCACUUAUUUUAAUUUCAUAUUUAUGUGUAUAGUUAUUUAAAGCUAUAAAAUAUUUUUGGUUCUAGUCUUCUGCAGUUUGUUUUAAUUUCCUUUUCUUAUGAAUGAGUUACUUAAGAGUUUAAAAAUUCCAUUUAGUAGAGUUUAAAAAAAAUUUAUUACUGAUUUCAAGUUUUAUUACAUUAUGAUAAUAGAAUGUCUUUUAAUCUAUAGAAUUUACUGAGUUUUCCUUUGGUUUAAUAGUCAAUUUUGGUGAAUAUUCCAUAAGCCCUUAAGACAUAUAUUCUUUGUUUUCAAAAUAUAGAGUUUAAUAUAUGUCAAUUAGAUCAGUCAUAUCAAUUAUGUUACUCAAGUGUCUAUCUUAUUUUUCGUCUUGCUCUGUUACAGGUGGAGAGAGGUAAAAUAAGCUCUUCUCAUAAUAAUGUGUGUCAAUUCUUCCUUGUAUUUCCAGUAAACUUUGUUCUGUGUGUUUGUUAUUAUGUUAUUUGGUGCGUAGGUAUUUGUUAGAUCGUCAUUGUAGACCUUUCUUGUUAUAAAGUGCCUGUAAUUUUUGCCAGAAGGUAAAAUCAUGACUUUCUUUCUUUUCUUUCCUUUAGUGGGCAUACCUCUGCCCAUCCUUUAUCUUUCAAACUUUCUGAGUCGCUUUGCUUUAGGCAUGACUCUUAUACUUUGGGGACAGUCUCUGCUUUUGGUAUUUGGCCAGCUUGGGGCAGGAGAAGACGUGAAAUAGGGCCCCCUGGCCUGGGAAUUUGCCUAUUUAAUAGAGGUCUUUGUUUGAUUAUUUGUGUUUUUGAAAAUGUCUUUAUUUCACUUUCAUCCCCCACCUUUUUUGACCCUCUAUUUCCCAACUUUUAAUGAUGAAAAAUUUCAAACAGAGAGAGAAGAUGAAAAACGAGAACAAUGAACAUCAGUAAAGCCCCACUAGAUUUCACAAUUGUCGACAUCUUGCCAUAUUUACUUUAUUUCUAUCUCCAUCUGGGCCUAUCUAUCUAUUUCUAUAUCUGUAUUGCUAUAUCAUUUGCAAGUAAGUUGUAGACAUCAUGAUACUCUACCCCUAGACACUGCGGCGUGCAUCUCCUAAAGCGAAGAAUCGUUUCCUACAUAACCGCAAGCCAUCACAUACAAAAACGACCCAGGGUGGAAUCUUUUUAAAUUCUGUGUUUCUUCGCUGGAAGUUCUCCUGGUGAUCUACAGUCACAGGGAUGCCAGCGGCUUGCUGGCGACAGUAACCCCAUCCUGAUCAUGCCCUCGCAGGAAGACGAGGGAGGGGAUCAGAACUGGCCGCAGGUGUUUGAAGGGCUGUCACUGGAAGAAUGAGCGGCGUUUCCCUCUGGCACUGCAGAGGAGGCACUUGGAAUAAAGAGAAGUUUCAAGGAGGCAAAUUGAUUCUGGACUGGGCCUCAAUGAUGAAUUCCUUGUCACUGGAGAUAUCUAGGGGAAAUGGGAUGGCCCCUUCUCAGGGUUGCUAUGGAGGGGAAUCAUCUUGGAUAGACUUUCUUAGGGGAAAGGGACAAGAAGUUCUGGAGAGACUCAAACUGAUACCCAGGUUAUAAUCAGACUGUAAUGACUCGUUCAUUUUGCCUACCCCAAAUAAAACUGAUUCUUUUUGUAUCUGUUUUUUGUUUUUGAGGAAGAUUAGCCCUGAGCUAACUGCUGCCAAUCCUCCUCUUUCUGCUGAGGAAGCCUGGCCCUGAGCUAACAUCCGUGCCCAUCUUCCUCUAUUUUAUACCUGGGACGCCUACCACAGCAUUGGCUUGCCAAGCGGUGCCAUGUCCGCACCCGGGAUCCAAACCGGGGUACCCCAGGCCCCCCAAGAAAUGGAACGUGUGAACUUAACCACUGCGCCACUGGGCCGGCCCCUGUAUUUUAAAAAUUUGAGCUCAUAAUAGUUUCUGUAUCUGUUUUAAGGCUGGAUUUUUUUUCCGUGCUAUUCAUUGGCUGCCCAUCUCGUAAACCCUGGUCGUUUUUGGUCAAUCUAGCAGAUACUCUUUCUUUUUUUUUUUUAAAGAUUUUAUUUUUUCCUUUUUCUCCCCAAAGCCCCCCGGUACAUAGUUGUGUAUUCUUCAUUGUGGGUUCUUCUAGUUGUGGCAUGUGGGACGCUGCCUCAGCGUGGUCUGAUGAGCAGUGCCAUGUCCGCGCCCAGGAUUCGAACUAACGAAACACUGGGCCGCCUGCAGCAGAGCGCGCGAACUUAACCACUCGGCCACGGGGCCAGCCCCCAGAUACUCUUUCUUAUAUUUUAUAAGAAAGGACCAGAGAAACUCUGCCUUCCUUAAGGAGGAGGCUGGCCUUUUCAAUUUGGCAGAAGAUUAGAGGCAGAAAAAGAUAAAUCAGUGAAAUAAAUUCAAAUUCUAUGUCUAUUCCCUUUUGCCCCAGCCCAAAUGUCUGAAUGGGUCUCUUUUCUUUUUUAUUAACUGGAAAAUAAAAGGCCUCAAGGGGUGUUUCAUCGGGACUAAGAGUAGC